Non-coding RNA from Podarcis lilfordi (Lilford's wall lizard), 69 nucleotides. The record is from the annotation of a GenBank genome assembly. Lineage: Eukaryota; Metazoa; Chordata; Lepidosauria; Squamata; Lacertidae.
GCCAUAGCUCAGUGGUAGAGCAUUUGAUUUGCAUGCAGAAGGUCCCAGGUUUAAUCCCCAGUAGCAUCU